GCGGUAAUACGGAGGGUGCAAGCGUUAAUCGGAAUUACUGGGCGUAAAGCGCACGUAGGCGGUGUGUUAAGUUGGAUGUGAAAGCCCCGGGCUCAACCUGGGAAUUGCAUUCAAAACUGGCACGCUAGAGUAUGUGAGAGGGGGGUAGAAUUCCAAGUGUAGCGGUGAAAUGCGUAGAGAUUUGGAGGAAUACCAGUGGCGAAGGCGGCCCCCUGGCACAAUACUGACGCUCAGGUGCGAAAGCGUGGGGAGCAAACAGGAUUAGAUACCCUGGUAGUCCACGCCGUAAACGAUGUCAACUAGCUGUUGGA
RNAcentral lists this ribosomal RNA (311 nucleotides) under uncultured Rheinheimera sp. RNAcentral describes it as "bacterial SSU rRNA". It matches the Rfam family "Bacterial small subunit ribosomal RNA", at positions 517 to 827 of the family's 1533-position model. Lineage: Bacteria; Pseudomonadati; Pseudomonadota; Gammaproteobacteria; Chromatiales; Chromatiaceae. The record is from RNAcentral.